Molecule: ribosomal RNA, 160 nt
Filed under: uncultured bacterium
Lineage: Bacteria
Description: partial 16S ribosomal RNA
Rfam family: Bacterial small subunit ribosomal RNA
Source: RNAcentral
UGGGGAAUUUUGGACAAUGGGCGAAAGCCUGAUCCAGCCAUGCCGCGUGAGUGAAGAAGGCCUUCGGGUUGUAAAGCUCUUUCAGCCGGAAAGAAAUCGCGCAGGAUAAUACUCUGCGUGGAUGACGGUACCGGAAGAAGAAGCACCGGCUAACUCCGUG